GUUAUCGAUCUAUAAUAAAUUCGUCAUUCCUUGUCACUAUUGAAUUGGUAAAAAUGGAAGUGACUCGCAAACUGAAUUGAAUCCUUCAUAACUAUUAUUGUCACUGUAUUGAACGAAAUAACAAAUCAUCGACUUAUUUGCUGAUGAACAGCCAAGUAUUGCGUAAAAGUUGUCGGCCACGAACGUCUGGAAAAGUGUAAACUCUUUACCAUAUUUGGUCGCCACCAAAUUUGGAAAAUUAGGCUAUAAAGCAAUAACGCCUCGAGAUAAAUUUGUCACAAGUUUAAACAAUAACAAAUUUUUGUAUUGUACUGAUGUAACGGAAUACCGCAAAGGUCCGGAAAAAAAAUCGUCGGAUGUCACCGCAUUUGAAGAAAGGAAAUUUGUUUGCAAACAGACGCCCAUAAAAGGUAAACUUGAGACUAAAUGAAGUCAUCUUUUGAUUUUUCAGCAUUUUUUUAAAUUUUUUGAGUGACUCAGAACAGUAGGUGUCGAACGAGUUUAAUAGACACGGCCAGAACAGAGGUGUUAUUUUAUUACAAGACACGCCUCAUAUAACAAACAAUUUGAAAAAAUCUCCAACAAGUCACGUCGUUAUCAAUCAAAAUUUGCAAAGUAGCACGAACUUACCACUGAUUUUCUUUUCCUAGGUUUGAGAAAAUGUCCACAAGCACUGAAAAAAAAUCAAAUCACCCAAAAUCAAGUUCUCGUAAAAGUGAUAACGAGGCAAUAAUAUUGUGUAUAAUUUGCGCGGUUGCCGGUGGCCGACUGACUGGUAAAGAACUGACCAUGAAGGUGGGAUCUUCGCGAGGGACACCCCGAUGUGGUCAGCAGACACCUUCAAAGAGGUGCCCCGCUCUUGUGACGUAGUGCCUGCAACAGGCGCCCACUCACUAUCCCGCAAAUUGGAACGAUUCGUUUCCAAUUGAUUUCAAAAAGCAACACUUUAAUAUGUAUAAUCAAAAUUAUUAGUUGUUGGUAAUAUGGCAAUAGCAGCAAAUUUUUUUUAUUGUUAUGAAGCCUAUUUCACCAGAAUGUUGGCAAAGCAAUGUUCGAAGAAAAUAUCUGAAACUAUUGUAACACAAUUCUUCCAGACAUCUCUAUUCGGUUUAGCCAUAUUGAAUAACAUAGUAAUAAUUCUCUUAAUUUGUUGUCAUUUCAACAGUUUACUUGCUUAUUUAGCAUAUUUACACUAACAUUUUACUCAGAAUGAACUUUUCUUCCCAUAAAACGCUAAAUGUUUACAAUAAAAUAAAAUCUAUCCGCUUCACCAUUACAAAAAUAAUUUAUGGUAUACAUGUGUACAUAACAUACAGUGUUAUUCGAGAGCAUGUGACAGUAUAAAAGUAACUUAUCAAGUAAUGCUAAUAUUGCUAAUUUUUAUAAAUAUUAUUUUUGGUAAGUUUCAAAAUUAAUAAAAAUUGGUCAGAUGGUGACAGUAUAAAUAGAAUACAAGUUAAUAUUUAAAUGAAUCUCAACCAAAAAUAAAAUUUACACUUAAACACUUAAACUUUAAAAAUUAAAAUUAAAUAUUAUUUAGGUGAUUUAGGUGUGAUUGGGGUAAGAUUGUAAAAGAUUUCGUUGGGGUAUCUGAAGGCAGGCAUUCGUUUUCGUCAAUUUUAUUGCGAGACUAUAAAUCAAAAAGGUUGGCUAUUGGUAAAUUUUGUUGGCAAAUUAUACCAUCUUCCAGUCACUCACGCGUCUGGUUUGUGUCUUAAUAAAAAGACUGAUUAUUUAAUCAACCAAGUCAAAAUUUAUAAUUAUGAUACCAGGGUUCGUUGAGUUAGCAGGUCUAAAAAUUUUGUAGUUAAAUUAACAGUUAGUGCCCAAAAACUCACAAAAGUGCUACGAAUUUAUUUAUUAACAAAAAAAUUUAAUAAAAAUCGUGAAUGGUCUUCAUCAAUGUGUGUAAAAUUUCAGGAUUUUUAUUUCAUUAGAAGAAGCGAUUCUUUUAGGUGCGCGACAAGGUUGCCUCACCCAGUGCAAGGGUGUUUCAAAAAAAAGUUUUUGUGUUGUGUUUAACCAAAAUAUUUGUUAAAAUUUUUGGUCAAAUACACAUAAUCUAAAAAUAUAAAUUUUAUAAAUUUUAGAAUCCUAGCUUGUAAGCAAAAAAAAUAUUCUCUUCUGAUUAUAAAAAACAAUCGAUUAUGGGUGUAUUUAUAUAACACCCCAAAUCCGGGUACGUAAUGUAAAUUUAAUUCUUCAAUUUUUCCUUUUAAGGCGAUAUGAACUACUUUUAUACCCGAUUUUGACACUGACAUUUGUUUAAAAAUAACAGACCAUAACUAAAUGAAAUAAUGUAUCAUAGUAACCACUUGUAGAAUAAAAGUGUACUACCUCUAAUCGUAUCUAUGGAAUAAGCAACAACAUUAUUAGUACCUAUAAGAGAAACAUUAUUUCUUACUUUUUAGUGCAUCUUUUAAAUAAAGACUUUUUUUCUAAAAACAUUUUUUUUAAUUAAUAUAAAGUAAAGUGUGUAAUUAACCCUGUAUCAGACAAAAUAAUUUGCCUCGAUACACAAUUUUGAAUAUAAAUAAUCUUACUGUUUUCACAUAGCGUUUGUAAUUUUAAUGUGAUCAUAUUUGAUGAAUAAAAUUUUUCAAAAUCUUUUUACUUUUAGUUCAAAUUAUGCCAUUAUUUUUAACGGCACUCUAGUAAAAUGUUUUUUUUUGUUGAAGAUGCGUUUACGCUUUAUGCCAAAAAGGACUUAAAUAAUAUAGGUAUAUCCAUUGUUUUUCAACCAGUUUCUUUUUGAAGUUACGUAAGUUGUCCAAAUUUAACAGAUGUGGUUGUUUAAUGCAUGCUUUUAGUUCCCGAAAAAUUUGACACAAGUAUACAAAUUGUAAUUCUGAGAACCCACUUUCAGAAUUUGAACCUAAUUUCAUUGGAAAUGUGUUUCGAUCUGUCAAAACUUCACUGUCACUGCAUAAGAGAAUAUUUGCGGUUUGUAAAAUGUUCGUGAUGAGCUCACGAUACUUUAUUUAAAAAAUACUGGUUUAAAAUAGUAUAUUAUUAUACGAGUUUUAUAUCACAUCUUAUUGUGACACGAAUAUUUUUCCAGAAGAAUAUCUGCCACAAUUAAGUCUUAUAAAACGAGUGUAAUAUACUAUUUUUUCUACUUUCUGUUUUUGUUGUUUGUUUUUGUUUAGUUUAAUUUAUUAAAAUCUGUUCAAACUAUUUCCUCUUAAUUUUGUUAAUUAUUCGGGCUUUAUCAAUAAACGAUUUGACGCUGUUGGCAGAUCACACACUAAAUUACAGUGAUGAAUGACUGAUGACACAAAACCCAGCACUGCCGACUCCAAAAAAAUUACUUAAAGGGGUUGCACAUAAGUUCUCUUUGUGAAACUACUUUCAGUUCCGCAAUGAACAAUUUGUGAAACCAAAGUAGGAAAAGUAAUUUUCAGUGUUUUUGACAUUUAGUAAAUUCAAAAAGUGUAAAGUGUAGAUUAUUGUAAGGCAAAUAAUGUCCCAAAAGAGUAAAAUUUCAUACUUGAUUGAUUUGAAAUAAAAAAAGAAUUGAAUCAUGCUACAAAAUUCUUUCCCACGCAUCAAAUUUGUUUUUUCCAAACAUUAGAGUCUACUUUUAUUUUUGAAAACUUAUGGGCAUACAUCUGCAUUAGUUCUACAAACUUGUAAAAUAAGGUAGAAAUUCUCAAAUUUCCAUCUCAAAAUUUAUAAAACGAGAGUAAUAUACUAUUUUUUCUGCUUUCUCUUUUUGUUGUUUGUUUUUGUUUAGUUUAAGUUAUCAAAACCUGUUCACACUGCUUCCUCUUAAUUUUGUUAAUUAUUCGGGUUUUAUCAAUAAUCGAUUUGACGCUGUUGGCAGAUCACACACUAAAUUACAGUGAUGACUGAUGAAACUCUGCCCAGCACUGCCAAUACAACUCCUAAAAAUUUACUAAAAGUAGUUCCGUAAACGUUUUUUUUGUGAAACUACUUUCGGUUUCACAAUGAACAUUUUGUGAAAAGUAUACCUACCAAUUUUUUUUUGAAACUGAAAAAACUGAUUUCGAUUUUGAUUAUUAAUAAAAAUAUUAAUAUUUUUUUAUUUGCAUAUUGCAUUAUUGCGCAAAUGUAAAUGAAGCUUAGACUAAAAGCUUUUAUGCAAUUUUGUUUGUAGAUAACACACGCAAAUAGCUAAAUAACAUGUCACUUAUUAAAUAGUUCAGCUGAUCAAGCAUGUACGAUUAAAGUAACACAAAGUUAUUUAUUACAUUGCCUGCAACUUCGAACUUAAUCCAUGAUCAUUCUAUUAAAAAUAUAAUCAUUUCAAAUGAGAAACUAUUUCAACAGGUAGGUAUAUUUUAAUCUACUAAGACAUCCGGUGAAACAAAUAAGGCAAUUAUCACAAAUUAGAAACAUCUAACGUAGGUGGCACAAAUUAUUAUCUGGUUCAUUUUCAAUCAACAGAUGGAAAAAUAAAUUGGUUUUAGUGUUUUUUUUUGGUUUAUUUAAAUCGUCGGUUUCCAUUCUUCUUAAUGUUUUUUUAAUAUCUUAGAAAAUCACUCAGAUUAGAUGAGAUCGUAGGUUUUUAAUGAUGUGAGUUAAAAUUCAGCCACUACAGUUGUUGCGUGAACUACUUGAAGGUGUUAUCUAAUGUUAAUUACUUUCAUGAUAAGCUCCGUUAUAAUUUCCUCCUUACUUUCAAUUGCAUAAUAAGGGUCCCACUCUCAAUUUGCGCUAUCCCAUGAUUUGAUAUAAAUAGUUAAUAAAAAGACGCUUCGACGCGUUGGAGCAAAAGGCGGGACCUUGUUUUGAUCCUUGAGUGAUGUAACACUCUAAAAUAAGCCAAAUCUUUUCUUAUUCAAAUCGAAUAGAGGAUGGAUUUGUCACUUGCUCACAGUACAGGCGCUUUCACGCGAAUGCAUCAAGGUUCUGCAUAAUCCCCUUGCAUAUGCGACGAAUUAAACGCAAAGCAAAGGAUUAACAGCUUUUUGAGUCAUCGAAUCGUUCGAAUUUCCACGCGAACGAUCAAAUAUUCACAACCCACCGAAUCGCAAGUGGGUAUUGCAACAAGAAAUCAUUUUUUUAAGCACAUGUGUUCAAGUUCACGGUUCCUUGGGCAAAUUUUUCAAAAUAUGAUCAAUACAGUGAUUUGAAAUGGGUCCGGCAUUGACCCAUACCCAUAUAAAGGAACGUAUUUCACUGAAGUCUGGUCGAGUUGGCCCUGGCACCAUGCACUUAUUACAUACAUCACAUGCAAUCAGGCCACUUGAUCUCGUAAAAAUAAGACGAAUCUAAAACAAUAUCGUUCUUUAAUUGAAUAAUUCGCACCACACCCACGCCCAUCUUUUUUCUUUGAUGAAUAAACUUGACAUUGAGGUCAAAAAAUAAAACUUUUCGAUGGGUUUUUCGCAGACGGCGUCGCGACGACCGUAAUAAUUCAAUUUGUAUUGUUUGGUUCAACAAUUGGUGUGUUGGUGGAUGACCAAAAGUUACGCCUUGGACCGCAGGUGCUGGAAGAGUGCGGAAUUAACAAAAAUCACACCCACGAAAAAUCGCAAGAAAAUAACAAGAAAUUUUGUUAAUUAGUUAUUAGUUAUUUUUGCGACGAAUUUUGCCAAAAAUAAUUUAUCUUCAAGUUUUUGGCACAAUAUGUUUUAUUUUUUUAGAGGUUGUUGACUACUGGUUUUUUAUUUCAGUAGGUGUGGAGUCAGUAGUGUAACAAAUCAUUCAAUACUAAUUAUUAAAUAAACAACAAGCUUCUAAUGUUUGCAAAUAAUCUAAGAUGCUGUCAUAUCAAUCAUAGAUAUGUUAAUACAAAGUAUCACUUUAAUUUCACGAUUUCUACACAAGGGUCUUAUAUGGUCACAACAAUUAGUUAUAUCCAGCUGUUUGUGUAAAUUUGUAUUUUGUGUUAAUAACCGUUAGUAGGAUACUUACCUACUUUUUGAUUUUAGAUAUACAUGGUAUAAGUAUCAGAUUUCGUUUUUUGGUUAUGUUAUUGGCUUAGAAAUGUAAAGGUGUUUUUGAUUUGAGAGUAAAAACAGUUGCUAAUUGCAAGAAUCAUUUCAAUUUUUAAGAAAAUGUCUCCACAAUACAAGCACAUAUUCCUAUUAACUACAACCCACAUAGUCAUUUUAAACUUAUAAUUUAAAAAAUUUUACUUUCAAAUGAACAGUAGGAAUAUCCAUAUUUAUUAUUGAAAGUAACAAAAAAAGAAAAGAUUUGCACCUUCUUCAAAAAUAGAAACUUUUUCAUUUUUAAAUAACUCCGAAUGUGUUAGGUUUUAUGUCUUAUGUAAAUGUUGUAAUAAGAAAAAACGUUCAUUUUCUAAUUCCCUAUCGAACGGUCUAAAAUAAACAAGGAUUACCAUUUGUAAUAAGCAAAAUAAAAGGCUCUAAAGUUUAAAAAGUUUGGAAGUAAAUUGUAAACACCCUGUAGUAAUUCAGAUCAAUCAAACUUAAUUAAUAAGUUUGUUAGACCUUAUUCAACACGUACCUAGUAAUAUUGUCAUCAAAAAAACGUUGUAUCUAUUUUUUAAUAAUUUUUAAAUCUAAAGAUGUAAAACCGAUUCUUUUUGUUUUUAUUUUUUUAAGUAAUCCCUGAACCGAUUUGAAAAAAAACUUUAGGGACAUGUAAGAAGCUAAAAAGGUAUCCUAAUGAGCAUAAAAAAUAAUAGCAUGCUUUAAAAAAAAUGUUAUGUUGACAUAAUACUCUUUUGGGACACUCUGCAUAAUCAAAAAUACUUUCUUGAAAUACGUCCUAGAGUAAAAAUAACAUCUACAAAAUAUCAGAAGUCCAAAUUUACUAAUAAUAAGUGAGCUACAGAAUACAGGAGAUGAGCUGGACCAGCCUCUAUAUCGAAAAUGCAUAGUUUUCUCCUUUUCUGAACUCUGAACUUAAGGUGUCAUAUUUUGAGAACCGCUGAACUGGAAUGAUGAAAAUUAACGUGUUCGUACUUUUAAGGGCCGGUUUACAGAAAGCGAAAUUAAGAUUUAAUUCAAAAUUAAACUAAUUCGAAUUAAGUUGCCAUUUAAAAAACAUUGACAAAUGUCAAGUUAAUCGCGAUUAAAAUUUAAUUGCAAUUAAAAUGUUCUGUAAACCGGCUCUUAAAUUAUUGACAAAACGCCAGAGGUAAAUUAACUUCUUGGUUCACUAAAUUUAAAAAAAACAAAAAAAUUAUGCCACAACCGGGAUACGAAUCUCCCACACAAAUAAACAUGUUAGCAACACUAUUUAAAAAAUUCUCAAAACUGUAUAUUUUUAUAUGUUCAAAAAAAAUUAAUGAAAAAGCCUACGUUUGGAGAGUUUCAAAUUCCAACUGAAGUGUUCCAAAUGGAGUGCUCCAAUUUUUAUUACAUUAAAUUGAAGAAAAAAGAAGAGAAGUUGGGUUUACUUUUUGUUAACAUUUUUUAUAUUUACUGAAGAAUAAAACAUUUUUGAGCAGAACUUGUCAUUAAUUCUAUUUUAUAUCUAUUUUUAGCAAAAACAGCUAUGGUCAGCAGUGCCAAAAAAUCAAAAUUACCUGAAUAUAUUAAGAUAGGUAUACAAUGUUAGCCCAGAAUUAAAUUUUCUAAAGGUAAUUAGGAUUUUUGUUUCCUUUUUUUGAUUGAAAUUUAAAACCACCAAUAUAAAGAUCCAAGUUUUCUCUACCAAAUGCACAAAUAAAAAAUUUAAGUAUUCUAAAAUAAUUAAAUUUUAAAAUAAAAAAUUAAUUUAAAUAUCUCGCUAACGGCUAAGGGCCGGUUUACAAAAAGCGAAAUUAAGAUUUAAUUCAGAAUUACACUAAUUCGAAUUAAGUUGCCAUUUAAAUUGCAUUGACAAGUUUCAAGUUAAUCGCGAUUAAAAUUCAAUUGCAAUUAAAAUGUUCUGUAAACCAGCUCUAAAUUUACGAAUUUAUAUUUCGAAUUAAUCCAGAAACAGUAAAAAACUUAGCCUUUGUUUUUGUCAAAUGAAUUUUGUGUAAAGUGUAGAUUAUUGUAAGGCUAAUAAUGUUCCAAGAGAGUAAAAUUUCGUACUUUAUAGUUUUGAAAUAAAAAAACAAUUGAAUCAUGCAACAAAAUGCUUUCCCACGCAACAAAUUUAAUUUUUUUCAAAAUAUUUACUUUUGAAAACUACCAUCUUAAAAUUCGAUAAUAAUAACAGCAUAAGACUAAUCUGUCUCUCCGAAUGCAAUUAGGUAUUUUAAUUACUUUGAAUUCAUAUGUUCAACAGACAUUAUACCCAUUAGCGUAAUAUAAAAAAAAUACAAGUAAACAGUUUCCCACUACUCCGUAGAGUUAGUAUAGCUUUCGAAAAUUAUAAGUCUUUAUAAAACUUUUUUUAGUUAAUUAAACUUUUAUAAAAUCACCUACAGCUUUGCAUCGACCUGUGGAAAAUGUAUAUGGUAGAGCUCAGCUCCGUUUGCGUGUGCGUCAUCUGACAUUUCUGUCACUACGUUUACAUAGCAGGGGCAUAGCGGUGACAAACUAUCAAAUAUUUUUUGAGGUUACGAAGUGUUUAAAUUAUGAGUUGUUACAAAAAAUACAGAUUCACAAAACAAGAACUAAUAAACGCAGAAUCAAAAACCUAACGAAACGCAAAUCACAAAACACAAUAAACGAACAGAAAAUACUUGCGAUUAACACCGAUAACACUUUCGACAACCAUGCGAUGACGUCUAUAAUUUACUGUCAAUGUCAGUUUGACAAAUUCGUGACACUUGAUGGUGUUGUCGAAGUGCACAUGUAAAUUAAUGUUCAAGGAUACCACCCUUAGAUAGCCCUUAGCUGUUUAAAUUUGCAUUGUUUUUGAUAAUUUUUUAUAGCUUUGUGUUGGUAAUGAAAAAAUGAAAUUGAUGACGCACACGCAAAUCGAGCUGACCGCCACUAUAUAAGUGAUGACCUGUUGACUACUUUUUAUUUUAAAACUUCAUUAUUAAUCGUUACACCUACACUCUUUAGUUUUGUGCUUCAAAUCGAUUUGCAGCGACGUACUAAGAUAAACAGAAAAUUAAUAAAUAUUAAUGAUUUCUAAAAUAAAACACUGAAAGAUGACAGUAAUGCUGUGUAAUCGUUGUGAUUUUAAUACAUAUUAUUUGAUCAACAGUUGCGCGCCAUUGCGAGAAUUUUGCAAGAAAUAUAAAAAUGCAAAUGUCCUACAUUAAUAGCAUAGAAUUAACCAAUUAAAUAAUAAUUUGUUAUGAAUUAUUAAUGACUUAACAAUAAUCAAAACCUCCUACAAAUUUGUUUACGUAACAAAAUAAGUAGCAAUGUUAUUACAUUAUCUGGUAAAAUAAUUCUAAAAAUUUGAAGUAAAAGAAAGUAAUUUAAUAAAAUACAUAAAUGUGAAAUCAGGAGAUCACGAUUAUUGACUUAGUUGAUUCAUAAAAUAUAAGUGGUUACAUUAUUUCAGUUAGUUAUGGUCUGUUUUUUUAUAAACAAUUGUCAGUGUCAAAACUGGGUAUAAAAGUAAUUUAUAUCGUCUUAAAAAGGAAAAUCGAGAAAUUAGAUUUAUAUUACGUACCCGGAUUUGGGAAUAAAGAAAUUUCCGCAGAAUCGGUGAAGGUUUUUGAUCGAAAUUCGUAGGCGCGCCGAAUAUGGAGAUAUGUCCUGAUCCAGGCAUCGAACAGUAGGUGGAGGCUGAUGACGUC
Long non-coding RNA from Tribolium castaneum (red flour beetle), 9574 nucleotides. RefSeq lists it as uncharacterized. NCBI's taxonomy places the organism in Eukaryota, Metazoa, Arthropoda, Insecta, Coleoptera, Tenebrionidae. The transcript is spliced from 3 exons. The record is from RefSeq and is a predicted model, not a curated record.